GGAAUCUUGCGCAAUGGGCGAAAGCCUGACGCAGCCAUGCCGCGUGAAUGAUGAAGGUCUUAGGAUUGUAAAAUUCUUUCACCGGGGACGAUAAUGACGGUACCCGGAGAAGAAGCCCCGGCUAACUUCGUGCCAGCAGCCGCGGUAAUACGAAGGGGGCUAGCGUUGCUCGGAAUUACUGGGCGUAAAGGGAGCGUAGGCGGACAGUUUAGUCAGAGGUGAAAGCCCAGGGCUCAACCUUGGAAUUGCCUUUGAUACUGACUGUCUUGAGUAUGGGAGAGGUUAGCGGAACUCCGAGUGUAGAGGUGAAAUUCGUAGAUAUUCGGAAGAACACCAGUGGCGAAGGCGGCUAACUGGCCCAUUACUGACGCUGAGGCUCGAAAGCGUGGGGAGCAAAC
This 398-nucleotide ribosomal RNA is filed under the name uncultured bacterium. RNAcentral's name for it is "bacterial SSU rRNA". It matches the Rfam family "Bacterial small subunit ribosomal RNA", at positions 358 to 773 of the family's 1533-position model. The record is from RNAcentral.